Molecule: non-coding RNA, 3888 nt
Organism: Meleagris gallopavo (turkey)
Lineage: Eukaryota; Metazoa; Chordata; Aves; Galliformes; Phasianidae
Source: RefSeq, a predicted model, not a curated record
AGAAAACUUAAAUUUGUGCCUUUGUUUGACAAAAGGAAAAAGUGGAGUGCAUGGGUAAAAUGUCAACAGAGAUUGCUUUGCAUAAGAAUAUUGCAUUACAAAUAUUGUUCACAAUAUUACACAAUACAAAUAAUUCUAGACAAUUCUAAUAAUUCUAUUAUGAGAGCAUAAGAGGUUAUAAUAAAAACACAUCCAUUUUUGCUUUUUUUUUUUUUUGUACAUUUAGUAUGUGCCAACCAUUUAUGUUAUUUCCGUUUUCUUUAUCAAGUUGUUUUUACUUUGUGAUUCUAAGCUACUCUAAGUACUUGAGAAAAUAUGUGUCAUAACUUCAUGCUUACAUGCCCAUGUCUUGUUCACCAACAGAUUACUUCCGUUGGUCAAAUAUAAAUAUUUAGUUAUUAAUUCAGAUUUGUUCAACAUCACAAAUAUAACUACAUGAGCUUAAACUUCUAUUAAUGCUGCAUUAUUGAAAGCAGAAAAAUAUUUUAUGCUAUUAUGUAGAUACUAAGAGACAUUUCAGAAAAGUACCAUGUCAAGUGCACCCAUUUCAAUCUAUCCAGUUAAAACAAGAGUAAUCAUAAACAAAACAUAACCCCAAAAUAUAUCUGUGCUAUCUAAAUAAAUAUGUUGUUUUGCUGGUUGUUACCAUCUUCAUACCCACGCCAUUCCAAGAUACACUGAGACAGCUCUGGCUGGAACACAAAUGACAUGCUUCUGAUGUUUGGUUCCAAUCACUAGUUCUUAAAAUAUUAGAUGCUCAUGAAGAGUGUAUGUAUUUCUGAGGUAUCUGAAUGCAUAAAAUAGAUGGAUGGGCCAUCAAAGGCAUAAAUAUAGAAAGCAAUUCAUGAAAGACUGCAAGUUGCCAGUUUGGUUGACAAACAGAUGUUUGGGUUUAGUUUUUAGUUUUUACUUACUUCACUGAUCACAGUAAAACCAGUUCACUAACAAAUAUUGUAGUUUUACUGUUUAGCAGCUCUAGAAAUGGAACUAAGCAUCCAUCAGUAUCAAAAAGCAAACAAGAAGUCUCCAGGUUCAUCUAGAAAUCGCUUCAAUUCUUUCCCAUUGAGUGUCAAAUCACACCAGGAGUUCCUAGACUCUCUGUUAGAAAAAUAAUUAUUAUAUCACAGUCUUUCUCAGGAACUUAUCAGCCAACAUGAAAAUGCUGAAAUGUGAGAUGUUCAUGUUCCAAUGUGAGAUACUUGAGUAACUUUUAAGGUACCAAGUAUCUCUUCUCCCCAAGGAACAAAAGAGAACUAACAUUUUUAUGAACUAUUAUUUUCUCUCACUUCACUUAAGGAGAAAAGGUAGAUCUUCAAGAAAGAUUCCUGAGGGAGUUGCAUUUUUUAUUUUCACCUUAAUCAUGUCAUCUGUGUAUAAUAGUAGAUGACGUAUUUUUUCCUGUUUUCCCACAUUGUAUCUCAGAAAUUCUGCAUCUCCAAGUUGUUCAAAGUGUUCUGCUCAGUCUGUGCCUGGAUAGCAAUUAUUUUCUUUGGCUCACUGAUUCUACCAUACAGUGCAUAGAUGUUGGAAUUUUUUUUUUCCCUUAGAGUCUAUUCUCACAGCUCCUUUACAGGUUUUUUUUUUCAGACUGCCUAGAAAUGCAUUAUCAGCAUUCAAAUCUCUAGAGACAAACCGAGUCAGAGCGUUCUGUUAGGAAACUCGUCCCUUAGCUGUUGGGGGACAUGACAUUUCACAGACAAAUGUUACAGUGUGUUUUCUGCACAACACAUAGAGAAGGUAGAUACAACAGUAUCAAAGGUAUGUGUGUUCCAACCACUUCUGGAGCUCCUUUUGUAGAAUGAGAAAUCAUUGUAGCAUUUUCCUUUCAUAUCUACAGAAGUCGACUUUAGCAUCUCCCACUUUCUUUCAAAAUAACGGCAAGCCUAAGCAGUUCGCUAUCGGUGAUAAAAAAAUGUGUAUUUACAAUAAACUGUAGGAUAUAAUGUGGGAAUGUGGAUAAUGCAAAUAUGAGAUGUGAAUAUGCCCCCAAAAUAUUUUUAUGUAAUUCUUUCUAUUCUUUCCCAUUUUUUAGCAGUGUCUUUUCUACCACUUACAAGGUUAUUCAUGACAGAGCAUUUAGCACUGCUCCAUCUACAGCUUCCCAUUCUCAUCCUAAACGAAAGCCUACAAAAUAUCCUUGUAAGAUAGAGUUGGGAAUUAAAAUAUGCAAUUCCUCCUAAUAUUAAAUGUCAUGGAAUCAGUAAGUGGAAUCAGCAAGCUUGAUGAUUAUAUGAAUCCAGGAGGAGUGGCUGAUACACAAGAAGGCUAUGAUGCCAUUCAGCGAGGCUGGAAAGUUGGGCAGCCUGAUGAUGUUCAACAAGGGCAAGUGUAGAGUUCCUCCUCUGGGUAGGAAAAAUUGCAUCAAUCAAUACAGGUUAGGGGCUGACCUUCUGAACAGGAGCUCUGCAGAAACGGAUUUAGGUGUCCUGGUGGAUAAUAGCAUGGCUAUGAGCCAGGAGUAUACCCUUGUGUCCAAGAAGGCCGAUGGUAUCCUGGUAUCCAACUAAUUAUUUAAUCCACUGAAUAAUCCAGCCUUCAAAUCUAUCUUCCUCCAAUUUAGAGAAAAGGUUGUGGUGUGGGACAAUGUCAAAGGCCUUGCAUAAGUCCAGGUAGGUAGGUGACAUCAGUUUCCUUUCCAUAGUCCACCAAUGCCGUCAUUCCAUUAUAGAAAGCCACUAGAUUGGUCAGGCAUGAUCUGUCCUUGGUGAAGUCAUGCUGUCUGUCUCAGAUCACCUCCUCAUGUCACAUAUGCCUUAUCAUUUGUUCCAGGAGAAUCUGCUCCAUGAUCUUCCCAGACACAGAAAUGAGGCUCACCAGUCUGUACAUCCACGUGUGUUCCUUUCUCUCUUUCUUCUACAAUGGGAAUGAUGCUUCCCUUUUUCCAUUCACCAGGGACUUUGCUUGACAACCAUGACAUUUCAAAUAUGCUGUAGAAUAAUGUGUAUCUGUGACUUAUUUUCAAUGAUCAUGUUGACAGCAAAAUAAGGCUAUAUGUUUGCAUUACUUUCUGUGGUCAUGGUUUAGCAGAAAUGCUAAGUCAUAGCCUGAACCAGUGAUUGAGCACCUGGUGGAAAGGCAGGGCCAACCCAAGGGAACUAGCACCUGAGUGACUGGAAGGGGUGGAGCCAGGAUCCACCCAUUCCCAAACCUCAUUUAAGUAUUGGCAGUAGAGGCAAUGGUAUCUUCAUAGAAUCAUAGAAGGGCUUAGGUUGAAGAGGACCUCAAAGAUCAUCCAGUUUCAACCCUCUGCUACAGCCCGGAGAGAGGGGCAUUCCGGAAGGUGAAUGAAGAGCAUGAAAGAUGAAACUCCCAGUAAGAUAACGGAACUAGAAUUCAGUUGUGUGUAUGUAAUUACUGUGAAGUUCCUGGAAUGAACAAAUCCUCAAUAGUCUUCCUGGAUAUCCAAUAUCAAAUGCUACUUGAUAGUGAAGUGCUUAGUGUUCUCAGCUCUCUCUGGGAUGUGUAGUACAAUCCAGAAAAGAGUGACAAGAAAUAACAAGAAGUUCAGCAAUGGCUUGUCAAAUGCCAAUCACAUCAGCAAUUUUGAACAGUACUUCUGAAGAGACUCAGGAGUUAAAUGCAUCAAGAGCAUAUUUUUGACUAAUGUAACAUUGCCUGAUUGUUUUGUUGACAGGAAAAGAUUCUGACAGCUUUUUGAUAUAAAAGCUUUAGACAUGAUUUCUUCCCACAAGUUCAUUUGCGGCAGUUCCUUCUCUGUGGUUAAUAGCUAUCCAUGGUAAAAAUGAUGGCUAGGAUUUGUUCUCUGAGGAGGGAAUGGCAGCACAACAUGUUCUACCAAAGUAAGCCUCAAAGCAGACUUCUUUCUAAAAAUCAUUCCUUUGCAAAUUCUGAUCGAAUCCAUUGCCUAAGGAGGUAAGUGGGUAGAAA